This 497-nucleotide ribosomal RNA is filed under the name uncultured bacterium. RNAcentral describes it as "partial 16S ribosomal RNA". It matches the Rfam family "Bacterial small subunit ribosomal RNA", at positions 28 to 507 of the family's 1533-position model. The record is from RNAcentral.
GAUGAACGCUGGCGGCGUGCCUAAUACAUGCAAGUCGAGCGAACAGACGAGGAGCUUGCUCCUCUGACGUUAGCGGCGGACGGGUGAGUAACACGUGGAUAACCUACCUAUAAGACUGGGAUAACUUCGGGAAACCGGAGCUAAUACCGGAUAAUAUAUUGAACCGCAUGGUUCAAUAGUGAAAGACGGUUUUGCUGUUACUUAUAGAUGGAUCCGCGCCGCAUUAGCUAGUUGGUAAGGUAACGGCUUACCAAGGCAACGAUGCGUAGCCGACCUGAGAGGGUGAUCGGCCACACUGGAACUGAGACACGGUCCAGACUCCUACGGGAGGCAGCAGUAGGGAAUCUUCCGCAAAGGGCGAAAGCCUGACGGAGCAACGCCGCGUGAGUGAUGAAGGUCUUCGGAUCGUAAAACUCUGUUAGUAGGGAAGAACAAAUGUGUAAGUAACUAGGCACGUCUUGACGGUACCUAAUCAGAAAGCCACGGCUAACUACGUG